This 461-nucleotide ribosomal RNA is filed under the name uncultured bacterium. RNAcentral describes it as "partial 16S ribosomal RNA". It matches the Rfam family "Bacterial small subunit ribosomal RNA", at positions 338 to 795 of the family's 1533-position model. The record is from RNAcentral.
CCUACGGGGGGCAGCAGUGAGGAAUAUUGGUCAAUGGGCGCGAGCCUGAACCAGCCAAGUCGCGUGAGGGAUGACGGUCCUACGGAUUGUAAACCUCUUUUGCCAGGGAGCAAGCGUGCGUUCGUGAACGCGCGUCGAGAGUACCCGGAGAAAAAGCAUCGGCUAACUCCGUGCCAGCAGCCGCGGUAAUACGGAGGAUGCGAGCGUUAUCCGGAUUUAUUGGGUUUAAAGGGUGCGUAGGCGGAUUGAUAAGUUAGAGGUGAAAUGUCCGAGCUUAACUCGGGAACUGCCUCUAAUACUGUUGAUCUAGAGAGUAGAUGCGGUAGGCGGAAUGUAUGGUGUAGCGGUGAAAUGCUUAGAGAUCAUACAGAACACCGAUUGCGAAGGCAGCUUACCAAUCUAUAUCUGACGUUGAGGCACGAAAGCGUGGGGAGCAAACAGGAUUAGAUACCCCAGUAGUC